Molecule: non-coding RNA, 605 nt
Filed under: Solanum lycopersicum (tomato)
Lineage: Eukaryota; Viridiplantae; Streptophyta; Magnoliopsida; Solanales; Solanaceae
Description: Bacterial large subunit ribosomal RNA
Rfam family: Bacterial large subunit ribosomal RNA (bases 1-340)
Source: Rfam by way of RNAcentral
GCUUCACUGUUCCAUGGGAUAGCUUUGGGCCUUUCCUGCGCAGCUUAGGUGGAGCCUUCCGGCGGGGGGGGGGGGGGGGGGGGGAGCCAUCAGUGAGACCACUCUGCAAGGGCUAGAAUUCUAACCUUGUGUCAAGACCUAGGGGCCAAGGGACAGUCUCAGGCAGACAGUUCCUAUGGGGCGUUUCCUCGGGGCCAGACGAAGAUUAGACCUCGAGUACAAAGGCAGAAGGAAGCUUGACUGCAAGAGCCACCCGUCGAGCAGGGACGAAAGUCGGCUGUAGUGAUUUGACGGUGCCGUGUGGAAGGACCGUCGCUCAACAGAUAAAAGUUACUCAAGGAUAACAAGUUGAUCUUCCCAAGAGCUCAGGAUUUAUGUGUGAUUGGGGACAACAAGCAUGCUACCUUUUUUAAUUCAUUCUCAAACUGAAAAUAAAUUGUAUAAGAAAUUAGGGGUAAUGCAGCUUGAAAGUAGAUUUUGAAAUUGAAUUUAGAUACAAAUUUAUUGAUGUAAUAUUGUAUAUUGAAUAAUUCAAAUAUAAAUUAGUUUGGAGUACAAAUUUGAUGAUAUUAUGUAUUGAAUGAUUAUAAUACAAUCUUGAUGAU